RNAcentral lists this ribosomal RNA (467 nucleotides) under uncultured bacterium. RNAcentral's name for it is "partial 16S ribosomal RNA". It matches the Rfam family "Bacterial small subunit ribosomal RNA", at positions 28 to 506 of the family's 1533-position model. The record is from RNAcentral.
GACGAACGCUGGCGGCGUGCUUAACACAUGCAAGUCAAACGGAAGGGCCCUGCUUUUGUGGGGUGCUCGAGUGGCGAACGGGUGAGUAACACGUGAGUAACCUGCCCUUGACUUUGGGAUAACUUCAGGAAACUGGGGCUAAUACCGGAUAGGAGCUCCUGCUGCAUGGUGGGGGUUGGAAAGUUUCGGCGGUUGGGGAUGGACUCGCGGCUUAUCAGCUUGUUGGUGGGGUAGUGGCUUACCAAGGCUUUGACGGGUAGCCGGCCUGAGAGGGUGACCGGCCACAUUGGGACUGAGAUACGGCCCAGACUCCUACGGGAGGCAGCAGUGGGGAAUAUUGCACAAUGGGCGGAAGCCUGAUGCAGCAACGCCGCGUGCGGGAUGACGGCCUUCGGGUUGUAAACCGCUUUCGCCUGUGACGAAGCGUGAGUGACGGUAAUGGGUAAAGAAGCACCGGCUAACUACGU